Molecule: ribosomal RNA, 469 nt
Filed under: uncultured bacterium
Lineage: Bacteria
Description: bacterial SSU rRNA
Rfam family: Bacterial small subunit ribosomal RNA
Source: RNAcentral
GAUGAACGCUGGCGGCGUGCCUAACACAUGCAAGUCAACGGUGACGAGAGCUUCGGGCUCUCUGAUCAGUGGCGGACGGGUGAGUAACACGUGAGCAACCUGCCUAUCAGAGGGGGGACAACAGUUGGAAACGACUGCUAAUACCGCAUAACAUCAUCGGAAGGCAUCUUCUGAUGAUCAAAGAUUUAUCGCUGAUAGAUGGGCUCGCGUCUGAUUAGAUAGUUGGUGGGGGGUAGCGGCCCACCAAGUCGACGAUCGGUAGCCGGACUGAGAGGUUGAACGGGCCACAUUGGAACUGAGAUACGGUCCAGACUCCUACGGGAGGCAGCAGUGGGGAAUAUUGGGCAAUGGGCGAAAGCCUGACCCAGCGACGCCGCGUGAGGGAAGAAGAUCUUCGGAUUGUAAACCUUAGUCAACAGGGAAGAAGAAAGUGACGGUACCUGUGGAGGAAGCCACGGCUAACUACGUG